GACGAACGCUGGCGGCGUGCUUAACACAUGCAAGUCGAACGGAAAGGCCCUGCUUUUGUGGGGUGCUCGAGUGGCGAACGGGUGAGUAACACGUGAGUAACCUGCCCUUGACUUUGGGAUAACUUCAGGAAACUGGGGCUAAUACCGGAUAGGAGCUCCUGCUGCAUGGUGGGGGUUGGAAAGUUUCGGCGGUUGGGGAUGGACUCGCGGCUUAUCAGCUUGUUGGUGGGGUAGUGGCUUACCAAGGCUUUGACGGGUAGCCGGCCUGAGAGGGUGACCGGCCACAUUGGGACUGAGAUACGGCCCAGACUCCUACGGGAGGCAGCAGUGGGGAAUCUUGCACAAUGGGCGGAAGCCUGAUGCAGCAACGCCGCGUGCGGGAUGACGGCCUUCGGGUUGUAAACCGCUUUCGCCUGUGACGAAGCGUGAGUGACGGUAAUGGGUAAAGAAGCACCGGCUAACUACGUG
Molecule: ribosomal RNA, 468 nt
Filed under: uncultured bacterium
Lineage: Bacteria
Description: partial 16S ribosomal RNA
Rfam family: Bacterial small subunit ribosomal RNA
Source: RNAcentral